GACGAACGCUGGCGGCGUGCUUAACACAUGCAAGUCGAACGGAAAGGCCCUGCUUUUGUGGGGUUCUCGAGUGGCGAACGGGUGAGUAACACGUGAGUAACCUGUCCUUGACUUUGGGAUAAAUUCAGGAGACUGGGGCUCAUACCGGAUAGGAGCUCCUGCUGCAUGGUGGGGGUUGGUAAGUUUCGGCGGUUGGGGCUGGACUCGCGGCUUAUCAGCUUGUUGGUGGGGUAGUGGCGUACCAAGGCUUUGACGGGUAGCCGGCCUUCGAAGGUGACCGGCCACAUGGGGACUGAGAGACGGCCCAGUCUCCUACGGGAGGCAGCAGUGGGGAAUAUUGCACAAUGGGCGGAAGCCUGAUGCAGCAACGCCGCGUGCGUGAUGACGUCCUUCGGGUUGUAAACCGCUUUCGCCGGUGACGAAGCGUUAGUGACGGUAAUGGGUAAAGAAGCACCGGCUAACUACGUG
This 468-nucleotide ribosomal RNA is filed under the name uncultured bacterium. Its description in RNAcentral is "partial 16S ribosomal RNA". It matches the Rfam family "Bacterial small subunit ribosomal RNA", at positions 28 to 507 of the family's 1533-position model. The record is from RNAcentral.